UUCCAGGAGAAGGAACUGCUAGAAAGGAAGGCAAGUUUAUGCGAAAAGGUACAAUUAGUUUAUACUACUGGGCAUGAUUUUCAGCUGGGUUUCGUGUUGCAUGAUGAUCUGACAAAAAGAAUCUGAGGGUUUUGAUGUUUUAGUGCGGAGAGAAGCCUUGGGAGCCGCCACCGCCGUCAAUGGGAGGUAAAGGGAAGGAGGCAGUGGCGACGGCAGGGAGCAGCAACGGUAUGAGCAAUGAGUGUUCGACGGUGGUGGAGACUACUUUGUCCAUCGGACUUCCCACGGCUACACGUUAUAUUGGGCAUUGAAUUAAAGAAAUUGUAUCUGAUUUACCAAAUUUUAAAAAAUGUAACUGUAUCAAAAUGCUCUAAAUUAAAGAGUGUUGAUUAGGGAGGUGUUCUGGUGAUAGUUAUAAGAAAUAAGCUCUGAAUAUAAUUGAAAAGGAUGAGGAGCAGUACGGCGUCGUCUUGUGUGUGCUUAUGGUGUAUGUUGUUACGUUCUCAAACUGGUGUUAGCAGUUGUAAUUAGCUCCAAUUUAGUGAUGGGAUUUAAUAAGAAUGAGGAGGAAAAUGUGUGGCUUUAAAAGAUAAGUGUGUUUUGACGAUGGCGUAGAAGAGUUUUAGUGGAGUUGGUUUGGUGGUACAAGUUGUAUGUGGUUGUGUGGGUGAUAUGAAGGUAUUAUAUAUGAAUUAAAUAUAUAUUUAAUGGCGGAGUUAAUAAUGAAGGAG
This 731-nucleotide long non-coding RNA is filed under the name Linum usitatissimum (flax). RNAcentral describes it as "long non-coding RNA (LUSI_LNC002067)". Lineage: Eukaryota; Viridiplantae; Streptophyta; Magnoliopsida; Malpighiales; Linaceae. The record is from RNAcentral.